AUGUGUUUACCCAAAUGCAAAGGUGGUAUUGGUUUUCAUGAUUUGGAAGCUUUCAAUCUUGCCAUGCUUUCAAAACAAAGUUGGAGACUUAUUACUCAUCUGGAUAAGUUGUGUGCAAAGGUACUUAGAGCUAAGAACUAUACAGACGACAACUUAUUAAGUGCAGGGACAAAGAAGGAAUCAUCCUUCACAUGGCAGAGCAAUGUGGCUGGUUUACAAACUUUCAAGAGGGGUAAUAUUUGGAGAGUGGGUACAGGAUCUCAAAUAAAUAUCCAAAAUGAUCCAUAGAUAUCAAAGAGCCCUACAAGAAAGGUUCUAACCAGAAGGGCCCAAGCUCUUUUUGAGAAAGUGGAAGAUCUUAUUGACCCAGCCACCCAUUCAUGGGAUGAAGCUCUUACCAGAAGCAUCUUUCUGCCAGUAGAUGCAGAAAGAAUUAUGGAAAUCCCAUUGUUUGGACACUUGUCGGAGGACUUUGUAGCAUGGCAUGCCGUAAAGUCGUUUUUCUUUUCAGUGAGAUCUGCGUACUAUAUUGAAUGGGAGCAUUAAUUUGGAGCAAGAUUGGGCCGAGAGCAACCACAAACAUCUAGAGAUAAUUCGGUUUGGGAUGUCCUGUGGAAGCUACAUGUACUGAGUAAAGUCAAUUUUUUUGUUCGGCGAGCACUACAUGGAGUGGUUCUAGGGAAGUCCAUAUUGCAGAAUCAACAUAUUAAGGUUAGUCCCGAGUGCCCUUUGUGUCCAGAGGGGCCUAAAGAUAUCUGGCACUUAGUAUUCACUUGGGCACGAGCUCGCAAAGUCUGGGAGUCAUUGGGUGUGAAUGAAGUAGUGGAUACAACCCUAAAAAGUGAUCGAUCAGGAUCUGUGGUGAUGGAGGAGAUCUUGCGACUGCCGCAAAGAAAAUCACCGGUACCUAGACGAUUGGGCUUACAGGAAAUGGUUUGCGGUAGCUGCAUGGUAUAUUUGGUGGGAACGUCGGGAAGCCGUGAAGGGUGA
Molecule: ribosomal RNA, 990 nt
Filed under: Triticum aestivum (bread wheat)
Lineage: Eukaryota; Viridiplantae; Streptophyta; Magnoliopsida; Poales; Poaceae
Description: partial small subunit ribosomal RNA
Source: RNAcentral